RNAcentral lists this non-coding RNA (112 nucleotides) under marine eukaryotic metagenome. RNAcentral's name for it is "SAM riboswitch (S box leader)". It matches the Rfam family "SAM riboswitch aptamer (S box leader)". Rfam says of the family: The SAM riboswitch is found upstream of a number of genes which code for proteins involved in methionine or cysteine biosynthesis in Gram-positive bacteria. The SAM riboswitch acts at the level of transcription termination control. The predicted structure consists of a complex stem-loop region followed by a single stem loop terminator region. The record is from RNAcentral.
CUCAUAGAGAGUGACUGAGGGACUGGCCCGUUGAAGUCACGGCAACCGGUCGAAACAGCGCGUUUCGAUGUCCAGGUGCCAAAUCCAGCUGGUAUAAUCCAGAAAAGAUGAG